UUUCCUACGGGAGGCAGCAGUGAGGAAUAUUGGUCAAUGGACGAGAGUCUGAACCAGCCAAGUAGCGUGAAGGAUGACUGCCCUAUGGGUUGUAAACCUCUUUUGUCGGGGAACAAAGGCGCCCACGGGUGGGCGGAUGAGUGUACCCGAAGAAAAAGCAUCGGCUAACUCCGUGCCAGCAGCCGCGGUAAUACGGAGGAUGCGAGCGUUAUCCGGAUUUAUUGGGUUUAAAGGGUGCGUAGGC
Molecule: ribosomal RNA, 244 nt
Filed under: uncultured bacterium
Lineage: Bacteria
Description: partial 16S ribosomal RNA
Rfam family: Bacterial small subunit ribosomal RNA
Source: RNAcentral